CAAGAACUUAUUGAAAAGGUUACCUUAUGAGUUAUGUUUUGACCAAUUAGUCAAAGGGGCGGCUUCCUAGAAUCUCUUUUGUGAGCUUCUAGAUUGAAAAGCACAAACUGUAUUAGGGCAAAAUAUCAGUAUGAUUGAUGCAGGAAACCCAGAAAGGAGAAGAUGAAGGAAACAUUUACCAAGAAGGGGCUGAGUCACGGAAACUCACUCUUUUGUAACGUACUUUGGAGGGUGAGAAAGUAAACUUUGUUUUGCAGACCGUCUGCACCUUCACAGAUGACGCACUGGUUCAGCAUCAGGAGUGGGAUGGGAAGGAAAGCACCAUCACAAGGAAGCUGCAAGAUGGGAAGCUCAUGGUGGACUGCGUCAUGAACAAUGUCACCUGUCAUCGGGUCUAUGAGAGAGCAGAAUAAAAAUUCCAUCAUUGCUUUGGACGGGAAUUAGCUGCACAAAUGAACGAGCUCAGUUCAAUGAGCAAAUCUCCAUUUUGCUUCUUUUUUUUUUUCACGACUAUGUUCAAUUAUCUUUAUCACAAACCUUUUACAUGCAACUAUUCCAAAAGUGUUGGUUUAAUUAAGAUCAUCCCUUUGGGUAGUCAAUAAAUGUGUUUGUGCUAAUA
This is a non-coding RNA of Oryctolagus cuniculus (rabbit), 619 nucleotides long. Lineage: Eukaryota; Metazoa; Chordata; Mammalia; Lagomorpha; Leporidae. The record is from RefSeq and is a predicted model, not a curated record.